Paramacrobiotus metropolitanus is the source of this 753-nucleotide long non-coding RNA. RefSeq lists it as uncharacterized. NCBI's taxonomy places the organism in Eukaryota, Metazoa, Tardigrada, Eutardigrada, Parachela, Macrobiotidae. The record is from RefSeq and is a predicted model, not a curated record. The transcript is spliced from 2 exons.
AGCUGAAGUUGGCCCAUCCUAUACGUUACCGUAGUGUAAAUAUAUAAUCGUUCUGUAAUUAAAUUUCUUGGUGGAAAGUGAAAACGCUUCAAGGAUUCUCAACAGACAGACUUAGUCGCUUUAUUUCUGGAAGUUUGAGUGAUUGACCGACACGUGCACAGCAUGUCCGAAAAGAAGCCUCCCGUGGCCGCGAACAUGUCCGAACAGAAGUCUCCCGAAAGCAUGCCUGAAGGGAAGCCUGCCGCACAAAAACAUCCUGGUCGUCCUGCAUUCGUAUCAACCGUUGCCGAUGCCAGAGAAUCUGGACGGGAAGAAUUUUACGAAACAUCAAAGAACUUCAGGUAAAGACACUAAUGCGUUGCUGUUUACGCAAAACUCGCCGACGACAAGAAGCAGGAAUUGCUGGCGGAGCGUCUUGGUAAUCCUCCAGGUGGGGGGUUGCAGAACGUCGCUGAUCGGGAGCCAAGAGAAAGCAAGAAGCCACCGGCAGAUAAGUGAACUGCAGCCAUGAUUGGUCCGGCAUCAUUAUUAUGGAAUGUCAUAUCCGCUAGAAUUUUUUAUUUUUAUUGUAGUGGUUUCCUAAUGCUGUAGGCUCUGCAGUGUGCAGUUACGAGUACAUACUAUUUGCGUUCCGUGUGAAGUUUUUAAUACUCGUAUACGUAAUGGAGUGACUCCAGAUCACUUCUGUUUUAUUCAACAAUUUUUCGUUUUUACUAUUAGCCAAAAUACAGGUUAAACACGCUUUUUCGCUUA